UACGGAGGGUGCGAGCGUUGUUCGGAUUUACUGGGCGUAAAGGGCGCGUAGGCGGCGUGACAAGUCACUUGUGAAAUCUCCGGGCUUAACUCGGAACGGUCAAGUGAUACUGUCGUGCUAGAGUACAGAAGGGGCAACUGGAAUUCUCGGUGUAGCGGUGAAAUGCGUAGAUAUCGAGAGGAACACCUGCGGCGAAGGCGGGUUGCUGGGCUGAUACUGACGCUGAGGCGCGAAAGCCAGGGGAGCGAACGGG
RNAcentral lists this ribosomal RNA (253 nucleotides) under uncultured bacterium. RNAcentral describes it as "partial 16S ribosomal RNA". It matches the Rfam family "Bacterial small subunit ribosomal RNA", at positions 524 to 776 of the family's 1533-position model. The record is from RNAcentral.